This 15066-nucleotide long non-coding RNA is filed under the name Heterocephalus glaber (naked mole-rat). RNAcentral describes it as "lncRNA (ENSHGLG00100052215.1)". The record is from RNAcentral. Lineage: Eukaryota; Metazoa; Chordata; Mammalia; Rodentia; Bathyergidae.
UUUAAAUCUUAUUAGCAUGUUUACUAACAAUGAAUCUUAUUAUAUAAUUAAAUAUCUAAAACACAUAUGCAAAAGAAAUCUAUUAGUUUAUUACUUGUCUACUCUGGAGUGCCAUCUUCACAACCAUAAUAGACAGGAAAUUAAAAAAAAUAAUUUUCCAAUUGUCAUCUUUCCUGAGACAAUAAUACUGAAAACCUGGACCCCAGCACAUACUACUGUAGCCUGUGCCCUUUGUUCUUUUCUAAAACAGCUGCAGUGCUACCAGUAUUACCUACUGCAGAAUGGGGUUUUCCUGCCUCUGGAUCUUGCUGAGAGCAUAUUUUCUUACUCUCCAAGCUUUUAUGCCUAAUCUUCUAUACACAAGGAUGAGCUCUUUCUAGGUAACAUGCUUUUACUGCAGCAAUAAUCUAACUAAUAACUUCAAAUUAUAUUUCUUUCUGAAUAUUGCAUGGCAUUUGGAAAAGAAUAAAAUUAUAUUUACCACUCUAGUUUGCAAAUGUUCCUGCUGUUACAGCCAGUGCUUCCUAAUGGAGGGGCUGAUAAUCUUGCUUGUGGUUUAUCACCUAUUUUGUUUCACUUUGAUCCCUCUGGAGCAUUUUAGUACUUGUGGGAACUAUAUAAGAGAAGAAAACCACUAGAAGACUUAGAUCAGUCACUGUGUUGUUUUCAUACCCUAAAUAGUACAUAUUCAUUGAGAAGAAUAUGGAAAGUAAUGAAUUGUAUUGUGGAUUAUCUGGUUUGUUGUACCUAUAUGUGCCAUGAACUAUUAAAUGUAAGUAUUUUGUAAUUGAAUACAUUUUUAAAAAAUAAAUAUUUGAAUUGCCAUUUGCAUGUUUUUAGAGACUAAUGGUAUUUUCUUUUUCUUUCUAGUAAUUUGCCUAGUGGGAUUAGGCCUAGUGGUCUUCUUCUUCAGUUUUCUACUUUCAAUAUUUCGUUCCAAGUACCACGGCUAUCCUUAUAGGUAAUAUCUUUAUACUAAUGUGAAUUUUUUCUUUUUUAACUACAAAAUUCCAAUAGUUAACAUAUAAUUAAAGAUUUAUGUAAAGUACCUAAUUAGCCAUGCAAUUUUAAAUUCUGUUAAGCCAUUCUUUGAGCACCUACCAUGUGUUAGGCAUAGUAGCCUCUGCAAAGGAGGUAUAAGAGACAUUGUGUUCCCAAGUAGGAUAUCAUGUUCAUUUUAGAGACAUAACGAAAUGAGUUCUAAGCUUUAUGUACUUAACCUAAUUUCUAUUUGUCAUAAUUUUUACUUUAUGUGCAAGAUUGUUUUUUCAUGUAAUCUACUCUCAGUGUCACCUUUUGAAUUCUGCAAACUUCUAACUUUUUAAAGAGCCUUUCUGCUGAGGUAGUAGAAGCAAUGAUGUAUUGAUAAAAAAUAAAAUUUCAUGAUACCUUACCUUCUUCAUGUGAAUAGUGGGCGUCUUAAGAGAAUGUUUCUACAUAGACCAUAGGAGCAAUACAGUAUUAGCUUUAUCUGAAGGAACAGAAAAAAUAUUACAUGGAGAGGUGAUCUGACUAUGGAAUUAUAGUUGAAGAACAAGAAUCUUCAGCCUCACCCCACUGUUUUCUCACAUGGCUGGAGAUACAUUUCAGAUUGUUUUCUUCCCACACUCAUUAAAAAUAAAUGUGCUUGGGCUGGGGAUUUAGCUCAGUGGUUUCGCUGCCUGCUGCGCAAGCGCAAGGACCUGAGUUCGAUCCCUGGUACCAAAAUAAAUAAAUGAAUGUGCUAAGAGAAUGGAAGGAGUGUGGAUAUCAGAUCUGAGUUGUGGGGAUCAUCUGCCUUAAAUGUAGCCUACAGUAUAAAUGAAUUUUUAAAAACACCAAUUGUGGGGACAACAAGAAUAAUAAGAAAGGCCAAUGAAGUCCUCAGUGUUUUCACUUUAUUCUUGAUUUUAGCCACCCAAUUUUGGUUUUGAAAUUAUAAAAUGAACAAAUUAAUCAGAUUAAUUCAUACCCAAGAAAAGAUUAAGCUUUUUUACUUUUCCUUUUUUCCUACCUUGGGAUUGAGAAUCCUGGUUCUGUCUGACAUAUCUUAGUUUGAUGUACCUGUGAUCUGUAUGGAAUCUCUAAAUGAAGCCAAAUGGAAAUACUUUGUAUUUUAAAGCCUUUUAGCAAGGAUUUUUUUAAAAAAAAAACACUUAAUAUUAACUCAUUUCAGUCUGUAGCACUCAAAAUAUGUCAAAGGAAAAGUUUUGUCCCUAUUUUUGUAAAAAAGAUAAACUGCACCAGGAACUGUCAUUAGCUUCUCAAAACCUCUAUGGUUGGUGGUCAGGAGGUGAGGAAAGGUAAAGGGCAGACUAGUGUUCCUGGUAUUACCUACCAUGUAAUUGUACUUCAACGGUAUUUCCUACAUAGAUUUUUCUCUGACAUAGCAAAAUAGUGACCAAGAAAAGAAAAAAAGCCAGCUUUUAUUAGUUUUUCAUGAUAGUGUUAUAUUUGACAGCACUAUUUUUGAUACAAUAUGAAUAGUUUUCAAGUUUGUCCUUUUUUCUAAGAAGUAGUUGUCAUUUAGCAAUAGCCUGGCAAUUCUCUGGGCUUUUUUAAAGCCCAGGUGAAACAUAUAAAUAACUUGUAGAGCUUUACAAAAUUCAUAUUGUAGGCCUCAUGUUAGAUAUACAUAGUAAGCAUAUCUAAAACAGAAGUCAUACCUACUUAUUUUAUUUCAACCUCCUUUUGGGGGGGGGUGUUUUUGGGUUGUUUUGGUUUUGGUUUUGAUUUUUUUUAAUUCAUUAAGUUUAUUGGUACAUUUUAGGUAUACAGUGUGAUGACAUUUAUCAUUGGGAAUUUGUACCUUUAUAUAAUAUAUCUUGGCUCUUAUUUUUCCCUCAUUCCUUUACCCUCCCUUCCACCCCUCCACCCUUCCCUAUUUGCAAAGACUUUCUCUGAUGUGAGAAAGUUAAAGUUUAAGGAUCAAAAUAUAUAAUAGAUAAUGUGAAAUAGGAAGAAAAGGUCCAAAAUGGAAGGGGGAGGGGGAGGAGAAACGAAAGAAGGGAAAGGAAUAAAUAUGAGAAAAGGAUUUUUUGUGUUUUUGAGAUAAGGUCUCACCAUGUAGUUUAGGGUGGCCUCCAACUUGUGGCAAUCCUCCUGCCUCUCCUGCCCAAGUGCUGGGAUUACGAAUGUACCACCAUGCCCAGCCUAUUUCAACUUUUUUAUUGUGCAGCCAGUCACACUCCCUUGUCAAGAUGAGCUUACCUUCAGCUGGCCUCUUAAGCCUGGAAAUGUGCAGUCUCCUAGAAAAAGAGAUGGAAGUCAUGCCCUUGCAAGAGUAGCUUGUGAAUAUGAAACUUGACAUUGUUCAGGUGAAAACCAGUAAAAAGCUGCCAAGCGACAGAGUCAGAAGAGAGCCUAGCAAAGAAGCUUGGGAAACCCGGUGAGCUAAACAACAUGAGGUGCAGUGUGGAAGUGGAAUGCUGGCCUGGCCUAGACAUUUAUUGUGCUGCUGGGUGUGUUUACCAGAUUCAACAGCCUGGAUACAGCUUGGCUACUCUGUCAAGCAAUUUUAGAUUCAGGUAGCCAAGAGGCAAUUGAGCCAUUUUAAAUAAUGCAAGGUACAUUGUAAAGAUAAGUAGAGAAGCAAGAACAGCUAAAAAGCUAGUUGCCAUACAAAUAAAUCUCAACAGAUUUUGCAGAGGUUCAGAAAAGUCAUUUAACAGCAUAAAUUUAUUGUUGGCAUCUCAUGCCCAGAAGUAGCUCAGUUGCUUACCUCUUACCUCUGAUCCUUCUACCACUGCUACUACAGACAAAUUUCUUUGUACUUCUCUCUCCUCCUUUUCAACUAAUUGAUGCCUUCUCUCUGCCUUUGGUUUCCAUCCUGCUACGGUUUCACUCCUUCCAUAUAAUUUAUAAACUUUCUAAGAAAAAAGACCUGAUUGGUUAAAUUUGUGGCUUUCCAGUAUGGGGCAGCCAAGCUAAGGAGAACUUUCAUGCCAGUCUACCUCAUCGGCCCUGGUCCUAGUGAUCUAUUUCUGAUAGGACUGAAAAAAGUGCUUUAUAGCUCUCAAGAUCCUGAGUGAUUAUGGUGGAAAAGACAUUUUUCUUCCUUACUUUCAUGAUUUUAAUAAGAAUUUCUGAAAACAAUGUUAUUUUCCUUAGAGUUUUUUUUCCCCAUUUGCAUUAUGAUUUCUCCAUGAAAGAGAAACUUACUUUGCUAGGCAUUGCACUCCUCUGAUUCCAUUUUAAAAAUAAACUUUGUGUUUAAGCUUCUUCCCUUGAAGAAAAAUUUUGAAGCGAAGGAAAACUUAAAUAGCAAAUAUGAAUUUUUGACAGCACAUAUCCUUAUAAUUAAAUAACUUUAUGAUUUUUUUUAUAUUUAUAGUCUCCACUAGAUAAAAACUCUAGGCAGAGAUCAAAUCAUUCUUAUUCACUACUUCUUCACAGAUCCUGGAACAAAAUAUCCCAUAUUAGGUAAUGCCAGUGUGUUGAACAAAUAAGUACAAACUAAUUUAGAACUACAGUAUAGAACAAAAGAAAAGUAUUUUAGUUUACAAAAUAAUCUUCAUAAAUGAAAAAAUGCAUAUAAAGAAUGUUGUUCAAUAGGAGACUGAUAGCAUUUCACAGUUCAAACCAGGGUAUCAAAAUAGGACUUAGCAUCUAGUUAAAGGUACCAUCUUUGAUUUCCUCAUAUUUACAUGCAAAUCAGAAUUGUGUACACCUACUUGUUCUUGCCCAUAUGUUUUCUUGAAGUUAUAGGUAAAGUGUUACUAAAUUGAGGCAGAAAGCAACAAAACUGAUAUAACCAAGAUUUAAUAGAAGGGAAGAUGAGAAAAUGUAAAACAUGUAAUGGUUGUUUAGAAAUGAUGAUGCAGACCUGGCAGAUUGUGUCAAGUGGUACAGAAAAGAAUAUUAGCUAUGCUUAGGGUAAAAGCUAUAACUUUAAGUUUAGUAUUCUUAGAGUAAUAAACACAGUCUUGGUUGUCAGAAGAUUUUACUUAAAAUUUUUAUUAGUAUUAAGCUUUUGUUUUAAUAUGUGAUAGCUAAUCAUCUGUUACCUACACUGUGUGGGUUCCAUUUCCUGAUUGGUGAACCUGGCUUUCUAUAACAGCAUCCUUUAGUGGAAAUUUUCGAGACUGUGUAGUCUGGUCAUAGGAGCCCUUAAUCUUUCUUUCCUUGUGUGUAGAUGACUAUGAUCAUACUGCAUAGAAUACAUACCUCAUUUUUCUCCAAAACAGUCAUGAUUUAUUUCCAACUAGGAUGAUUUCACCAAAUAGUCUGGAAUCAGUUGUGCUGGUCAAAAUGCUUAUCAAUGAAGCCAUAUUAAAGAGACCUUAAAGUAGCUUCUGUAACUAAGACUAAUAGCAAGAACUUGGAAUGUAGUAAAGUUUAAAAAUAGCCAGAUUCCAUCCUUUAUUACUCUUAUUGAAAUCCAUUAAUAUAUAAUUCAGCAAUUGAAAUUGGGCAAAUGAAAGUUUACCUGUGCUGCCUUUGCUCUAGGUUCGCUAAACUCCACAUGUUACCUGAAUAAUCCAGACAUUUACAAAUCUUGUCUUUGCACUUAAUGUCCUAUCUGGAUUAUCCUUUCCCCGAAAGCAAAUAUCUGCUCAGAACCAACUCUAGUUGCCCCUCUGGCAAAUCUUCCCCAACUCCACAAAGGAAUUAGUCUCUCCUACCCUGCACUUGAAUACACUGAGGGGAGUUUGUGUCUAUAUAUCCUAUCAUAUAAUACUUAGUAUCCUAUUAGUUGCUGUAUUGCCUAUCCUAGAUUGAGUCCUGUGGGCUUAGGAAUUCAGCAAUUUACCUUGCACAGGAAAAUUAUAAUAAAAGUUUGGUAAAAGAUUAAGAAAGUGAGGGACAAAAGGAGUUACCUCAGUACUAUCUCUGAUAAAUGGGGAGAAUAUUCAUUGGCCAAGUCAGUUUUCCAUUAUGAAUUAAAAACUAACAGUCUUAAAAUGGGAUACAAGAUAACUCAAAUUGUGCAAUAAAUUUAAGGAAAAUCCAAAGAAUUUUGAUUUAACAUUGCCUGAUCCAGAAAUAGAUCACUGAGAAUUAUUUUAGAGCAACUGUAGAAAAAAAUCCAUAUAAUUAGAAAGCGGAUAUAUAUAUAUCCAAAAUGUGGAGGUUCUUCCUUAUUAAUACUUUGGAUUUAACUGCUCUCAAAAUGAUACACAAACAGCCUCCACAGUUAAAUGGAGCAAGAGAUUUCUGAGUUGCUUUAGUAAUCUCUUUAGAAUAAAGUUUCAGACAUCUGGGAUCUCAUCUUGUGCUCUGACUUAAUUAGCUUCAUACAUUGGCAAGUCACUUCUCUGAGAUUUCAUUUUAUGUAAUAAGGUGGAGUAAAUCAUAUUUCUUCCUUGGUUUCCCGUCUAAUUCUUGAAGGGAACUUUUAAAACAUGAAAGUAUUAUGCCACAUCCUAUUGAAUUAGAUUCAAGUGUGGGUCUUAGGAAUCAAAUCAGUUCAGGAUUUCCCCAGAUAAUUCUGAUGAACCAAUCUUAAAGAACUAUGUGCUAAAUGAUUUCAUAAUUGCCUUUCAGUUUCAAUUAUUUUAUUUGAGUUGCUAAAAAACAUUUUUUAUGAAGUACUGUUAAGUUCUUUGGAAAAGGAAAGUAUGCCCAUGAAACUGGGUAUCAAAAGCUAAUGGAAGUCUGCUGUAAGGAAAUAAUUUUUAGGUGAGAAUGAUCUCUGUGGGUUUGAAUAAGAGAGGAAGACUCCAGCAGAAUACCUGAGCUAGGCUGCUCUGUGUGAAGGAUAGCCUUCAGACAGAGAAGAGAAGCUAAGGGUAUUUCAUGAGCAGAGAAUCCUAAGAUGUCAAGAGACAAGUGGAAAGAAAAGUAUAUGUGUAGUUUCUGGGCAAUAAUGAGUCUACAGCUCUGACUUGAUAAACUUAGCAUGUUUUUCUCAAUAAUGUACAUAUUUCUAUCUGAAAAAGUACUAAUUAGACAAGAGGAAAACACACAAGGAAAUUUUUUCUUACUGCUUUGGAUGAAUUUUAGGAUAAUUCUCUAAUUCAAACUGUAGAGUAUCUCUAGUUAGAGGCAGAAGCAGAGCUUCAGAUGACCAGGUCUGUUUGACCUCUCCUAUGCCAUGUUUUGUAUAGAUCAUCUAAUUUCUUAUAUUCCCAAAAGUAAAAAAUUGUCCCAGAACAAGAGUCAAAAAUAACAUACAAAGUCAAAUGUACAGUGACUUCAAUAAUAUGAUAGUUGAAGCAUCUAAGAAAAAUGUUGACAAUUAGCUGUUUAACAUCAAACUAAUAACUUGCUGUCUAUUCCCUCCAGCUCCUUUGUGAGCCUGAAUAGCUCAGGAGUAAGAUAGAAGAAGAGUCCUUCCUUGAGGAAGUUAUAAAAACUUGUUUUAUUUUUUUCCUUAAAUGUUAAAAGAAAUUUUACAAUGACGUACAUGAAAUGAAACAAAAUGAGAGAGAAGAACUAAUAUCUCUGACAAAUUAGUUUGUUAAAUGAAAUAAAAAUAAGUUAUUUACUGAAUGAAAACUAUUAUAUUUUAUAUGAUGGGAUAAUGUUCCUUUUUAAAUUUUCCUUCUAUUUCUUUAUAAUAUACUAUUGCUUCAAAUUUUUACCAAGAUUUCUAUUAUUUCUCUUAUUUGAGUUGCAUGACUCAAUUAUCCAACUAUCCUGUCAAAUUUUAAAUUACUUCUCUAAUUUAAUUAUCACUUCCCAUAUAAUCUUCUAGUAUUUCUCUUCACUUGUGCUGAGAACUUAUAUGUGUAUGUAUUUCUCUGCAUUCUGUCUUUUUUAUGGACAUAGCAGCAAAUUGUUCAUUAGGCUUCCAUAAAUCCUUACAGCAUGCAAAGAUAUCUCUCCUGUGUUUAUUGAGACUCAAAUUGGUUUUUUUUGUUUCAAGUUUGCAUAAGAUGUAUGUCCCCAUCAUUACAGUGUAGGGGAGCGUUAUGAACAAAACCACCAGUUUUACACUUAAAAACUUGCUUUCUUUUAUUAUCCAGUAUGCCUAUAUAUGCUAAUGUUGCCUAAGUAAGGAUAUACAAUACUUUGGGUCUUAUUUUUAUUCCAUUGCUUCAUUCUUCUUCUAAAUAAUCUUUCAUUUUUCUUUUUUCUGCUCAGAAAUGUUAUCAGUUCUUCUAUAAAUAAUUAUGGUAAUAAAUAUAAGGUAAACAUCAUAAACAAGUGUUACUAAAACUACAAAGAGUAUAUACCACAGAUCUGGACAAAUUCUGAACUAAAUUCCAAAAACUUGACACUACAGGUGAAUACAUAUAUCAGAAUAGUUGGUUAACUGGAGAAAGAGCAAAGGUGGUGGCAAAAGCAACAGCAGAAAGGGGAAAAAGGGAAAUUAUUCUGGGACUAGUUGAAAGAUGAGAUGUUAAUAAGGAAAAAAAUCUUUUCUGGUUUAAUUAUUCUGUGAGAGAUUAGUUGACUAUAAACAUAGCACCACAUAGUUAAGGAACACAUGUAUUCCCAGAAGCUUUAUUUGUGAAACCAGCAUUAUAUUACUUUAUUUAAAAAUAGAAACAAACCCAGUCCGGGGAUUUAGCUCAGUGGUUCGGCCACCUGCCUCGCAAGCGCAAGGUCCCUAGUUUGAUCCCCAGUACCAAUAAAUAAAAAAAUAGAUAGAUAGAUAGAUAGAUAGAUAAAUACAAAUCCCACAUAGUAGCUAAAGGUAGUUUGUAUGAAAUAAGUUAGUGAAAUGCAAGAAACCAUCAUUCUAGGAAGAGGAAACUCCACAACACAUUCUAGAAGGCAUGUCCUGAUGCUGAGUACUUGUUUUUUCAUUUGUUUGUUUGUUUUUUCAGAUGAUUUUCUUUUUACUACAUGUUUGUAGUACAUAAUGUUUACAUUCCUUGUGUAAAGUUGGUACAUUACAUAACACAUCAUAAUUCCUUUGUUCAUCCCCUUUUCUUUUCUCCCUCCUUCCAUUUCUUGACCCCCUUUCCUUUUCAGAAAGAUCUGUCUCCCUACUUCCUAUUGUAUAUCUUGUAUUUUGCUCUUUGUACAUCUUUAGGUUUCUUAUAUAAGAGAAACCAUGAAUAUUUAAGCUUGUGUAUCUGAUUUAUUUUACUUAACAUUAUGGUCCCAAGGCGCAUCUGUUUUCCUACAAAUGACUCAGUCUUAAUCUCAAUCACUUAAUCUUUCUUUAUAGUAGUGUAAUACUCCAUUGUGCAUAAAUACUGCAUCUCCUUUAUCCAUUCAUCUGGUAAAUAUACGUGAAAGAACAUUUGUAGAUGUCCAUUUUCAAAGAAUAUGGAUCUUGAAAUACAAAAUCAUAAACCCUAGGGACCAAGAGCUAAACCAAGCCAACUACUUAUAACAGAAGUACAUUGAAUGAGGCUUACAACAGGAAAUAAAAAUAGCUUCUCAACCAAGACCAUGUCCAUGACCUUACCAACUAUACAUAUUAAAUAUUAUUAAACAAGAGGUGAGCUACAAGGGAAAACUUUUCACUUCUGUAUACUUUAGAUAAUUCCUGUAUUUGGGAUACAACUCAAGAUAUCCCUCAGUGAAAAUGCAGAUUUGAACCUAACUUUGUCUCAUACUUUUUAAAAAUCACCUGUAGCCAUUGGCUUCAAUUUUCAACAUCACAUUACUUUCCUAGGUAUUAUGUCACUGUGUUCUGCCAUUUAUAGACUUCAAUAACUUCUUUUUGAUAUUUUGUGAAUUACAACUUUUUUGCAAAUCUGAAACACAACUGUAUCCAUAAUUGUCUUUAUACAUAACAUCAUGUCAAAAUCAUCUUUAAACUAAUUUUAUUUUUUCUUCAAAAUUUCAAAUUCUGCAUAAUCUGCAUCCUUUAAUUUAUUCCAUAUAGAAAGAUUCUUCCUUAUCAUGUUUUUACUUUAGCUUUAAUCUUUCACCUUGUAAAACCCUCAAUAUUUAUAUGCCUGUGAUACAUUUUCACUAUUUCACAGUACCUUCAAAAUUAGUAUUUUCAUUGUCUUAAUAUAUGUACCUACUAAGAGCAUAAAAUCUUAAAAUAUUUAUCAUAUUUCCUUCAGUCUUUCCCUAGUGUAUUAAUGGUGUCUUCUACAAUAUCAGCCUAUUUCGUACUGUUACUAAAUUCUCCCAGAUUGUCUUCUGAGUUUCAAUAAGCAAACUUUCUUUGAACCCCCAGUCUGCUUAUUAUGUGACUUUGUGCAAAUUACUUAACUUUUCUAACUCUAGGUUUUCUCAUUUGUAAGUGGAGAUGAUUUUAUGUGCCUCAUUCUAGUAACAUGAGAGAAUGCACGUAAAUCACAUAGCACAUUGUCUGGUACCUAAUUUUAAUUAUUCAAUAAAUGUUUGAUGCUAAUUAUUAUCAUUAAUUCUGAUAUAAAUAUUUUAAAUUCAUGUAUACUUAAUUUACUUUUCUCUAAACAGGUUUUUUUUUUCCUUUACACUGAACUUUAAAUAGCUUUGUUUUAUAUUUGCAUAAUUCUGUUGAGUAAAGAACAGAUUUUCCCUGAACUCUUUGAUGAAGUUAAUUGGACUCUAGGGUCCCUUAAAACUAGCAGUGAACUUAGAGGCUUCUUUUGAAUUUGAUUUAAUUACCUUCUGAGUCAUACUUCAGAAGAAAUUUUAUUCCAGUGAUAAUACUGAAUUCAUUUUAUAUAUCAAAUAAAAAUUAACUUUAGUUCUUCCCCAAUUUCUAGGAAGAACGAAGUGCUAGCAGGAACACAAUAGUCUUCACUUAUGGGUAAUUACCUUCUCAGCAUUUUCCACGGGCAUCUGUGACUCAAAAAUUGCUUCAGAAGACUUUUAUGGAAACAUCUAUGGCAAUCAAGUCUGUUUUAGAAGGGAAUAACAUGAAACAUUCUGUAUUCUAUCAUUUUGAUUCCUCCCGUCUCUACAAUUUCUUUAACUGUCUUAUAAGAUAGCAUGAUGUAAAAAAAAAAAAAAAGCAUGAUGUAAAUAUAAUGGGAAAAUAUCAGUAAUUAAAGCAGAAGUCAUGCAUUCCAGUUUGGGGUUUAAUUUUUUUAUAUUAAAUAGCUGAGAACUGUGACUCUGCAGUUAGAUAAAUCUGGAUUUGACUCUUCAGUCUUCUCACUGUGACUUAGAGUUAGUUUUUUCAUCAGCUCUAAAGUAGUGAAGACAGACUCAGUUGUUAAGAGUUGUCUGUUACUUCUAUAUCUUUUACCAACAUAUUUAACUUUAUUAAGCCUGUUUCAUCCUCUAUAAACUUCAGAAUUUUAUGGGGAUAACUUUGUAGUCACUGAAAUACAGUGAGUUCGCAAUUCAAAUUAAUUACUUUAGCUAACUUCAUGUGUAACAGUCAUGUUAGCACUUAAUUAUUCAGUAGCAAUUUAUUGCAUUGUAUUUUUCAUUAAGUCUUCAUAUACAAUUGUUUAAUAUGUUUAAUUUGUUUCCUUGUAGAAGACUGUAAUAUACUUGGGUAAAGGUCCUUAACAAAUAUACCUUUUAUAUCUACAAAGUGCAAUGCACAUAGUAGGUGCUCAUCAUAUACUUGUUAAUUGAAUCUGUGUGCUCAAAAACAUUUCUUAUCUACUAGCGGUAAAUGCAGGGGAACUGUUGGAAAAAAAUGAAGUGUACUAGUUUGCCACAUUACACAAGCCUAGAAAAUGUAAUCCAUGUCCAGUGGCAAACCCUGGAGUUGUCGGGUUGUUCUACACAGCUAAUGGCAUGUGUAGAAAGAUAGUUAUUCCAGAAAUCUGAUUCUGAGCUGGCUGCCAUCAAAUUAAAAGUAGAUAUAUAUAUUAGAUGAGUAUAGAAAUGGAUAAAGUGUCUUCCAUUGUCUUAUACUUGUAUUUCGUGAUAUGUUUGAUUAUUUUGAAAAAUGAUUAAUAGCAAUAAAAAAUGGAAUGACAUUCAGUAAGGAAAAGUAAAAUAGAGAAACUAGAAAUGAAAGGGGUACUUUAGAAAGUAUGAUGGUGAACAAGCACAUAAGACAGAAUAUCCCAGGAUGUACAGUGUAUAGCAAUACCAUAUUCACUUGUACAUCUUAGAUAUACAUCUUUCAUCUGUAGGGAAAAUAACACAAACUUGAACUGUAAAAAUAGAAAAAUAAUAUAUAAACAUUCUGGUGAUAGUUCUCAAUACAUGUCAUUGACAAGAAUUUGGUGUUGUCUCUCUCGUGUUGAGUCCCAACUUUAGAGAAUGGCAUAAAGAUCUAAAGAUUUUUAGAUAUGAUUUAGAGAAAAGGCAACAUUGUUUAUCCCCUUUUCUAAAUAGAGAAUACAGUGCUAAAUCUUGUAAUAAAACUGUACAAAUGGAAAUUGAAUCUUAAGGAUUAUUUUUUCCAUAUUAUUGUAUUUCAUUGUGGUGUAUUGGAAAGUGAUCUGGACUUUGAGUGAGAAGAUGUGAUUUGGACCAUGGCACUUAAAAACUCUAUAACUUCAGCUUUUUAAUUAAAUGAAGCCAAGUGGGAUUUGCAUAAAGUGAAUAUUUACCAUGAAGAUACUGUUCCUGACCAUUUUGAAUUCUUGAGUUCUUUUUUUGUUCUUGUGAUAAGCUAGCUUAUUCUUGUAUACAUUUUUUAAACUGUCAGUUUUCCUACUCAAUUUAAUUUAUAGAAAUGGAUAGUAACAUUCAGUAAUCUGCGAAGGAAACAUUAAAAUGUUUUUUCAGACAUAUUCAGUGUAUGUGGUAGGAUUGGAAUAAAUGACAAUGUAACUAUGAAUUCAUGUUUUAGAACUGUUCACUCAUUAGUAAAGGAGACCACAUGUUAGUAAAGGAAACCUAUGGAAUGUAUGUUAAAGAAUAAUUAGUAUUGUACAGGGAUAAGGCAUAUGCAUGAAAAUUUCAUGUAUGGGAAAUUAUACUUAUUGCAGUUUCAGUUAUAAAGGAUGUGCACUGUUACAAGUAGUGUUUUGUUCUUAUUAAUCCUAACUAUAUCAAGGCAUGUAGGAUAAAUUGUUGGAUGAAUAAUGCCUGGAUGUGGGUGCCUAACCUAGGAAAGGGAAAAUCUUCCUGGGGUCCAAAUUAAAGCAAAUAUCCACUUAAUCAACAUGCCUUAAAGGUAUUAGGCAGUGGAAGCAACACACCACAGCUAUGAAUUAGUAUUCUCCAUUAUUAGAAGUGUCAUCUAGGAAUCUAGAUUCAUAACAGCAAACCUAACACAUUAGGGCCAUUUUCCUUUUGUUUUGCGGAAGCAGCUUGCCAUUUAAGCCUCAUUCCCUGAAUCUGUAUAAGAGACUAAUUCUUUGAAAUGAGUGAAUGACUCAGUAAAGCUUUCUUGAAAUCAAGUAUAGGAAUGUAACAAUUAUUGUGCUUAUAUCCUGGUUUGUAGAGUAUAUUUACAUACAUUAUUGUAUUUGUUUCUCACAACUGCUUUAUAAAUAAGAAAGGAAAUACAAAAUUUUUUCUGGUAGUGGAAGCUGAAAGCCAAAAAUAAAAGUAGAAAUCAGGCUUUCAAACUCUCAAACCUAUGUUUUUAUAUUCCAAGUACAACCUAAAGGUAGAUAUAGGAAAAAUAAUUCUACAUUCAGUUUAAUAUUUUUUUUCUUUUUUAAAGACUUAUUUAAUUUUCAUUACAAUUUGGAUAAUAGAUCACAGAACAUUUUGUACACUGGGUGUUCCAGCUAUAUAGUCUCAAAGAGGAACCAGGUAUAUAUCCAUGGAAUUUACUUAUUUUGUACCAAUGAAUUUCAAUGAAGAAUGGAUAAUUUAAAAGCCUACUGGGGCAUAUUUAUCCUAAGGCAAUGUGUGUGCUAGCAGGAUGAGAGCUAUCUUUUCAAAACAUCAUAAUAUUCAGUGAAAAUUACCUAAUAAUUCAGAACUAUAUUAACCUUAACAUAUAUUCCCAAAACAAUUAUUAAAAAUACUAAUUUUCCUAGUUUUUGUUCACAGAUUAAUUCAGAUUGAAAUGGCAUUUAUGAAAAAGCAAUAGGCAUCCAUAAUUGUUUGGUGCCUAUUCCUAGGUAGCGCUUCACUUGUAGUUCUUUUAUCCAUUAAUAAUUCUUAAUCCAUUUAGUAUUUUUAUAGUUCCUGAAGUCCAUUUAGAACUCUAGAGAAUACAAAUAAAGUUUGAGAGUAAAUUUUAGUAAGAAAGACAUUUAUUAUAUUUUGUUCCCUUACCUGUCAGAAAUAUCUUUCAGUACAAUAAGCAGUUGAGUGACUAAUACUGACAAAACACAUCACUCUAUAAAGAUUAAUAGUAUUUAAUCAUGAUCAAACUCAGGUCAUUCUCAGAUUUUAUGACCAAGGUAGUAAGUCCUUCCUUAUCCUGUAUUAGUAAAAAUUUUCCAGCCUACGUUUUGUAAUUUUCUCUGAACAUGAAAAGUAAUUCCAAUGAUAACAAUAUUUUUAAAAAUUUUAUAGUUUACAAAACUGUAACUUCUCUAUGAACAAUUGUAGAAAAAUGACAGUUCAAAAUAAAUUAUCUCAACAUAAAUCAUUACUGGAAAGUGCUAUAGGCAAAACUACAAAGAGUAGUUCAGAUAAAGCGUGCUUGCAGGACAAAGCAUAUGCAAAAUCACAUACAUAAUAUAUGAUAUUUUCUUUGCUAGACAGUAAGAAUGGAUUUGUAUCUGGUAUCAUGCAUUCUGCAAUGUCACUUUUCAACCAGAUUCACUGUAUUGAAAACUCAUAAAAUUGAUAUGUUAAAUAAUCUCCAGUUAAAAUUUUCUUUUCUGCUUAGAAUUAAAAAGCUUUAAAUGGGCCCAGGGAUUUAGCUCCGUGGUUUUGCCGCCUGCUGCUCAAGCGCAAGGACCCGAGUUUGAUCCUAGAGUGCCAAGAAUGCUGUAGGCUCACAGAAAACAGGACUUACCGGCAGCUGUGAUGUCUUUGAGAGAUAGUAAUAUCCUCACCACUUUAGAGUAAACAGGUUCAUUUGAUUUAUCAACCAGUCUUAAGAGACUUCUCACAAGUUUUACAGAAGAUCUCAUACAGAUACCUAAUUAAGGCCAUUAACAUAAGGAAGCCAUGACUGGAAAGUUUUAUGAACAUUUAAAUCAUCCUGACAAAAAUAAAAUGAAAAUUCCUUGUGACUGUAUGUCUCCAUUAUUUGCAUAUACACAUAUAGAUCUGAAAUACAUUAAUUUAAUUUAAUUUUAUUUUAUUUUAUUUUUUUAUUUUUUAUUUUUUUGGUACUGGGGAUCAAACUUGGGACCUUGUGCUUUUGAAGCAGGCAGCAGAACCACUGAGCUAAAUCCCCAGCCCUGAAAUACAUUAACUUUAAAUCUAUUACAAUAAGCAAAAAAUAUAUUUAACAAAGAUUUUCUGAAUAUUUAC